Molecule: ribosomal RNA, 441 nt
Filed under: uncultured bacterium
Lineage: Bacteria
Description: partial 16S ribosomal RNA
Rfam family: Bacterial small subunit ribosomal RNA
Source: RNAcentral
ACUACGGGGGGCUGCAGUGGGGAAUAUUGGGCAAUGGGCGCAAGCCUGACCCAGCAACGCCGCGUGAAGGAAGAAGGCUUUCGGGUUGUAAACUUCUUUUGACAGGGAAGAGUAGAAGACGGUACCUGUCGAAUAAGCCACGGCGAACUAAGUGCCAGCAGCCGCGGUAAUAGGUGUGGGGCAAGCGUUGUCCGGAUUUACUGGGUGUAAAGGGCGGGGAGCCGGGUUGACAAUGCAGAUGUGAAAUCCUGCGCCUUAACCGAAGACUUGCAUUGAAACUGUUGAUCUUGAGUACUGGAGAGGCAGACGGAAUUCCUAGUGUAGCGGUGAAAUGCGUAGAUAUUAGGAGGAACACCAGUGGCGAAGGCGGUCUGCUGGACAGCAACUGACGAUGAGGCGCGAAAGCGUGGGGAGCAAACAGGAUUAGAUACCCUAGUAGUC